AUGUAGCUCAGCCAGGUAGAGCAGAGCUUUCGUAAAGCUAAGGUCGGUGGUUCGAUCCCACCCAU
This 65-nucleotide transfer RNA is filed under the name Candidatus Woesebacteria bacterium CG_4_10_14_0_2_um_filter_39_14. RNAcentral's name for it is "tRNA-Thr". It matches the Rfam family "tRNA", at positions 5 to 66 of the family's 71-position model. Rfam says of the family: Transfer RNA (tRNA) molecules are approximately 80 nucleotides in length. Lineage: Bacteria; Candidatus Woeseibacteriota. The record is from RNAcentral.